CAAAGGAAUUGACGGACUCCUACGGGAGGCAGCAGUGGGGAAUAUUGGACAAUGGGGGCAACCCUGAUCCAGCAAUGCCGCGUGAGUGAUGAAGGCCCUAGGGUUGUAAAGCUCUUUCGACGGGGACGAUGAUGACGGUACCCGUAUAAGAAGCCCCGGCUAACUCUGUGCCAGCAGCCGCGGUAAUACGUAGGGUGCAAGCGUUAAUCGGAAUUAUUGGGCGUAAAGGGCGCGUAGGCGGCGACCCAAGUCAGAUGUGAAAGUCCUGGGCUUAACCUGGGGACUGCAUUUGAUACUGGGUUGCUUGAAUUCGGGAGAGGAUAGCGGAAUUCCCAGUGUAGAGGUGAAAUUCGUAGAUAUUGGGAAGAACACCGGUGGCGAAGGCGGCUAUCUGGACCACAACUGACGCUGAGGCGCGAAAGCUAGGGGAGCAAACAGGAUUAGAUACCCUGGUAGUCCUAGCCCUAAACGAUGAAUGCUUGGUGUGACAGGUACCCAAUCCUGUCGUGCCGGAGCUAACGCAUUAAGCAUUCCGCCUGGGGAGUACGGUCGCAAGGCUGAAACUUAAAGGAAUUGACG
This 579-nucleotide ribosomal RNA is filed under the name uncultured Dongia sp. RNAcentral's name for it is "bacterial SSU rRNA". It matches the Rfam family "Bacterial small subunit ribosomal RNA", at positions 319 to 915 of the family's 1533-position model. Lineage: Bacteria; Pseudomonadati; Pseudomonadota; Alphaproteobacteria; Rhodospirillales; Dongiaceae. The record is from RNAcentral.